GGUUCCUUGCGAUCUGGAUCUGGCCCUCAGCCUGCCCUUCCUUGAUCGGCAAAUCGCAGGUGAUCUGGAUUGUUUCCCCUCACAUGUUCUGGAGUGUUUUUGUUUUUAUGUAGAGAUCUUGGUGAAGGCCUUUUUCACGAUCCAAGCGGUUUUUCGCGGUGUGGUUCUUCGGUGCUUUGCGGAUUAAAAGAUGGUUAUGGCUUCCGAUCAGUUUCUUGCGGCUGUUCCACCUAUUUGGUUCGUUCUGUUCUUGCUGCCGAGGAAGCACUGCAGGCGCGGAAGCAGUUCUACGGCUCGAAGUUCGGAUCGACGGGCGUUUUCGAUGCACAAACUCCAGUUGCCAGGAAAAUAGACGUUGUUUGCCUGAAUGAUUAAGUUCUUGCUCAGAACUUAUCAGUUGUAAAGGAGUGGAUGCCUCUUGGGGAUCAGAACAAGACGGAUGGGCUAGGUUCUUGAUGAUAGACUGGGAAGGUAAUAUGCAUUUGAACAUGUUGCGUCGACCUUUGCCAUGUUGGGUGCGCUCGCAUGGAAGGUCACCCCUGCUUAAUAAAAAGUAAUAUUUUUUGGGUGCUGGCGGGGAGAUCGCACGGGGCAUUUGUUUUUAUUCCCCGGGUUCUCCAUCGCCUGUGUGUGUGUGUCUGCCUCUACCUCUUUGAAUUUCAUUGUCCCUAUCGUCCCAUCUCGCUAUCAGUUAAAUGCGGUUUCAUGGCGAUAUCAGCAAUAUUCCGAUUCAACCACUGCAUAUUCAAUUGUCUUCAACCGAUGCAUAUUCAAUUGUCCAUCGCCUAUGCAUCCAUUCCAAGUGGUGAAAUCAUGGGGUCCCCAGCAAUUUGAACCGCUCUAUAGAAGUUUGUCAAUUGUGUUCAAUAUUAAAGAUGCUGCUGCCAAAGAUUGUCUGUAGUUCUGUCAAUUGCUGUCUAGUGCUGUCAAUUGAACUCUGAGGCGCAUGUAAAAUAUCUGGAAAAGACUUGGAGGUCAUCUCACCUUGCAUUUUGGUGGAAUCAAUUCUCGGCUUGGAUUUGUUGGUACCUGAAGCUUACAAUUUUGUUGCCACAUCUGACCGAAAUUGAGAUACAUUCAUGGAGCAAAAAUUGGGGCGUAUUAUAACUAUUGUUUUGAGCACUCUUAUUUGAUGUCAAGUUCUGAAGACUCCUGUAAGAACAAAUUUGAAUUUGUAAGCCUGCUUUUGGACUCAGUUCUUGAUUCCUAUUUGGCAGAAUUCAAAUUCAUCAGACGCUUACAAGUUUUUGUGAUUGCAACUUUAACUAUAUCAUUACCCGAUGACUUCGGAAACCA
This is a long non-coding RNA of Zingiber officinale, 1296 nucleotides long. RefSeq lists it as uncharacterized. The record is from RefSeq and is a predicted model, not a curated record. The transcript is spliced from 2 exons. Lineage: Eukaryota; Viridiplantae; Streptophyta; Magnoliopsida; Zingiberales; Zingiberaceae.